Molecule: RNA transcript, 3166 nt
Organism: Vespa crabro (European hornet)
Lineage: Eukaryota; Metazoa; Arthropoda; Insecta; Hymenoptera; Vespidae
Gene name: phospholipid scramblase 2-like
Exons: 10
Source: RefSeq, a predicted model, not a curated record
UAGCGCUUAUCCAUAGUCAUGAUAAGCCGUUAUUUUAUCAAAGAUAACAGUUUAACGGAUAACUUAGGGCAGUGAGAAAAUAUUUUGACUCCAGUGUUCGAUAUAUUAUAUAUAGAAGAAGAAAUGAAAGUAUAGUGAGCGUAAAAUGUGAUGAUAGAGAAUGAUCGAAACGUUAUACAUUGUGGAGAAACGUUGAAAUAUAUGUACAUAAAUGUGUGCUGAAUUUAUCAAAACUGUAGGCUGUUAAGUUUGCCGCAUUAAAUUUUCGUAAUGAAUGGAAAUAUGGAAUUAGAGGCGCAAGAAAGAUCUAGUAUACCACCGGUUUUUCGAGGACCUAUUGUUAUCACAGUACAACCGCAAGGUGAAAAUAACUCGGGCAGAAGACCAAUACCAAUAUCUACUACGGACUGGGUCUCAACACCCAGAUCUCAAUUGAAUGUACUCUCGGGAAUGCAUUUCUUAGCAGGAGUUGAACAAUUGGAAAUUCAAAGGAUAAUCAACUUUAAUGGAUUAUUUGGAUUAUCUGGAAAUAGAAAACAAUAUAGAGUGAAAGUACCAAAAGCUGAAACGAUCUUUUUAGCUACGGAAUCUCGUGAGGACAACGAAGAAAGGUACAUAUGUAGAGUCGCAGAUUUUACGUUAAUUUUCUUAGACCAAGCUGGAGAAACGGCGUUUGUUAUUAAGAAAAAUCCUGUAUGGAAAUAUAUGCCUGGACCAGUACAUAAACUUACGGUAUCGAGUACGGCUUUAAUUGGGAGUGUGGAACAAAAUUUCUCUAUAUUGGGUCCGAGUUUUACCGUUUACGAUGCUUCACGGAAACCUUUGUGCAAUAUAUACGGACCGAAUGCAUGUAGUUGUUGUAUGUACAAGGAAUCACAAUUUCAGAUUAUUUCGAUCGAUGGUUCACAUCAAAUGGCGUCUUUAAUGCAUCAAUGGAAUAAUACAAUCCAUGAUUACACUUUAUUACUUACUUUUCCAUUAGAUCUCGACAUAAGAUUAAAGAGUCUAUUGCUCGGUGCAUCUUUUCUAAUGGAACACUUAUACUUCGAAAAUGUUAAGAGAACGUGAAAAAAACAAACAAAAAUUCGAAUCGAUAAGACAUUUAUUUAUACACAAUUAUUUGAAAUAAAAUGCAAUAAAGUACGAUUAAAUUGUAUGAUUCGAUUCAAAAAUGGCAGCUAUAUUUCCAUUUCGUUUGAACUGCUUUUGAAGCAUAUAUUCGAUUUUCUGAUAUCUCUCAUCAUUAUAUUUACGAUACAGAGACCUGCAAAAUUUUUAUCGGAAGAUGAGAAUGAGAAACUACAUAUUUAAGGCGGAUUCAUUAAAAUUCGAAUGAAUUUUCUAGAUCGAAGCGCCAUCUAGCAUAUUUUUUAAGAAGCUUUAGUAGUCUAAAGUUGUAUUAAAUAAGUUAUAUACCAUGCAGUGGUUAAUCAUGUCUGAUUGUAUAAAACAGUUUUACUUAAUUUAAAUUCUCCAAAAAUGUUUUUGAAGAAAUAAAAUAUAUUCAUAGAAACGUGAAUAUAAACAAAUUUUUCGUAUUCGGGUAUAUAGUUAGAGAAAAAUAUUUGUGAAAUAUAACUAUCACAUUAUUUGGAUUCACAUAUAUAAUUAAUUCAUGACUUUGUUGACAAUUGACGAUCUCAUCGAAAUGCAAUGAUGUAAUCUAGUAGUUUUAGGAUGUAAAUCUUUUUAUUCAUUUGUUUAUAAAAUUAUAGAUUUCUAUUAGAUGUGAAAAUAUAUAAACCAUACAAUCCGUAUGCAUAUUAAAAUAUAUCGUGUAAAGUUUAUAGAAUUUGAUUGUUUUAUCGGUAGAUAAAGUAUUAAUCUUGACUAGUAGAUGUUCAAUUGUUCGAACAAAGGAAAAGUAAACAUCAGAAAAUUGCAAGGGAGAGUGAAUGUACCGGUGCGUCAAAGACUAAACUGUGUGAAUAUUACAUUCGGUUGACUCUAAUUUAGCAAAAUUACCGAUAUGUUUAAAACGUGUAUCCUGUGAAUUUACAAUUACUGUUAGCGAAAGAAAAAGGACCAUAAUAAGCUAGCAAUUAAUUUAAUCAUAGCAAUACGCAGUAAUAAAAAUGUUCUACAGAUUAUGCAUUGAAAUAAAUUAGAUUGAAUAUGGACUGAUAAUAAAGAUAGAAAAGAAAAAAACAGAAGAAUUUUUUUAGUCUUUCACAAUCUGCUCUUACAAUUUACGAUACUUUAUUUUACUUUAUUUUAUUAUUAUAUAUAUUAAAGAGUCGAUGGCCAACUUUUAUAUAACCAUGAAAUUGAAGGAGAUUUUGAGAAACAUUGUUUGGUUUACAUGAAGUCCUUGGAGCAUAAUAAAAAAAUUAUAAGCUGUAUAAUAGUAUUCUAAAGUCACUUAUGAAACUAGAUAUAAAUUCAGAAAAGUGAAAAAGAAACAGGUGACAAAAUUAUAAUGUGGAACUAUUUUUACUUAACAAAAUUUGGGAAAUCUAUUAGUAAGUAAACAUAGAAAUAUAAAUUAUUUAUGUUAUGAUAUAUACAUUAUAUAUAUAAUGUAUAUAUGUGAUAUCGAGAAGUUUAAUCGAUGCUUUGUGCAUAAAAUGUGAGAAAGUCAGCAUGCAUAAGUGUAUCGGUUCAUUUAUGAAUAUUCCGAGGCUUUAUUUCCGUGUGAAUAAAUGUGUAUAUGCGUAUGCGUGUGGACAAGAGUGAGACUUGGGUUUUCGAAAAAAAGGGUAAAGGGAAAGGCGAAUGUGACGAUCGAAACAGGUAUAUGAAAGAUGUCUGGAUAACACAUGAGUAUUCCCAAAGGGAUUGAAGAAUUGAAGAAUUGAAGAAUACUUGGCACUUGUAUUAACAAAAGUUGAAUAUAAAUUAAUAUUGUCUGUUAUGAGAUAGACAAUAUUGCAAGAUGUUAACAUAAUUUAAAAGGUAAAAAUAAUUUUAUUGUUCUUUUUGAAAUAUUAUUGGAAUUUUUUUAUUGUAAUUAUAAAAUAUAUACAGCUCAUAGAAAAAUAUAAUAUAUAUGUAUAUAUACAUAUAUAUAUUUCUCUUUAGGGUUAUUAUACAAUUUCAGUUGUGCGGAAAAAUAGGGCGGAAAAAAGAAUAUAAAUAAAUAAUGUAGAUGCAAAAUAAAUUAUUUAUUAUUGAAAAAUACUAAUGUACAGUAUAUCUUUUAUACUGGUGUAACUUGCAAAGUAAG